UACGUAGGGACCGAGCGUUGUCCGGAAUCAUUGGGCGUAAAGAGCGUGUAGGCGGCUUGCUAAGUCUGGCGUGAAAUCUCGGGGCUCAACCCCGAGCGGUCGUGGGAAACUGGCAGGCUAGAGUGCGGGAGAGGAGAAUGGAAUUCCUGGUGUAGCGGUGAAAUGCGCAGAUAUCAGGAAGAACACCCGUGGCGAAGGCGGUUCUCUGGAACGUAACUGACGCUGAGACGCGAAAGCGUGGGGAGCAAACAGG
This 253-nucleotide ribosomal RNA is filed under the name uncultured bacterium. RNAcentral's name for it is "partial 16S ribosomal RNA". It matches the Rfam family "Bacterial small subunit ribosomal RNA", at positions 524 to 776 of the family's 1533-position model. The record is from RNAcentral.